This 1295-nucleotide long non-coding RNA is filed under the name Equus caballus (horse). RNAcentral describes it as "lncRNA (ENSECAG00000047250.1)". Lineage: Eukaryota; Metazoa; Chordata; Mammalia; Perissodactyla; Equidae. The record is from RNAcentral.
UGCCAGGAUAACCUCUCAUAGUCCAAAUGGCCAAAUUAAUAUUAAAUCCAGCUCUUCUUCAGACAUCAAGGAACCUCGCUGUAUCGGAAAACAGAUUUUACAGCUGACUCGACCUUUGUCAAGAAUCUGAAGUACGCCCCGACAUUGGCACCUCCUGCCACCCGCCCCUCACAUCCUCCCACCACCCUAUCCCGUAUCGGGUGGCUGACGCCCUCCUCCUGACUCCUAUGGGGGGAGUGCGGGGCCUCCCUCACAGCCGUCACUGCUCCAAAAGCAAAGAUCAACAGGCCUCCAGGGCGUGUUGGGGCUGUAUCCUCUGUUGAUACACUCAAAGCUCCUGGGGGGGCUGCUGCCCCUCCCCAGGCCCCAACUGCUCUGCAGACCAGCACUGUGGGUAAAUUGCGGCCAGGCCUCCUUGUCACCAAACUGACGGGCAGGGAUGGAGCCUCACUGACAAGGGCUCACGUGGCACCAAGAUAGAGAACGGUGCAGAGUGCUGCCUGGACCUGGAGCCAUUCUCCAGCUGGCCACCUCCACGCCCCAGCCCUUCAGAUGCCCGAGGCCCCUCAGAGGAGUCCCGGCCACGUGAAGUGGCUCUCAGGACCUGGCGCACAGAGAACCUUUCCCGGGACCUGACCCUUCCAGCACCGGGCAGCACAGGAGCUGCAAGGGGGCCAGGAACAGUCCCCAGGGUGACCUUCGCUUGACAAGCAAGACAGGGGGCCCCAGAGAGGCCUCGGGGCUUGUAGGAGAUAAACAUUUGUCUCUCAGAUGAUCAAAAAGGAAGGGUGUGUGAGGUCUCAGGGGGGACAUUUGAACACGCAGGCACCUGCCAUCACGAGGAACACUGGAAGGCUCUAUAAUUUUCCAAGCCUCUGCUGAAAUUCCUCAUCUUUUCAUCCAUUUUGUCCCUCCUUUCCUCUAAGUUACUUGCUGUAUUUAUAACAUUUUGAACGCCUUCUCUUCCCAUUCAAACCCCGGGGCCAUCUAUGGUGUGUUCCAGUGACCAUUCUUUUCUCCUGACUGUGGGUCACAGUUCCUGCUUCUUUGCAGUUGUUAAGUUUUAAGCUGGAUGUUGGGUAUUAAAGAACAGAAGAGACUGGGGAAGCCAAAAGGUCUGCCCACCUCCCAGGAGGGCCCCCUUUCCUGUCAGGCAGCCGGGCUGAGGGCCGGGCCUCUUCACUGAAUCAGAUCUCUAAACAGCCUCAGCUCCCCUCUGGCUUCGAGCAUCCUGAAGGGGAAGCCUGGCCCUACCUCUGGCAGGGCUUUGGGGUUCAAACUCCACACACCAGGUC